CCUACGGGGGGCUGCAGUGGGGAAUAUUGGACAAUGGGCGAAAGCCUGAUCCAGCCAUGCCGCAUGUGUGAAGAAGGCCUUCGGGUUGUAAAGCACUUUCAGUGGGGAAGAAAGCCUUGGGGCUAAUACCCUCGAGGAAGGACAUCACCCACAGAAGAAGCACCGGCUAACUCCGUGCCAGCAGCCGCGGUAAUACGGAGGGUGCGAGCGUUAAUCGGAAUUACUGGGCGUAAAGCGCGCGUAGGCGGUCUGAUAAGCCGGUUGUGGAAGCCCCGGGCUCAACCUGGGAACGGCAUCCGGAACUGUCAGGCUAGAGUGCAGGAGAGGAAGGUAGAAUUCCCGGUGUAGCGGUGAAAUGCGUAGAGAUCGGGAGGAAUACCAGUGGCGAAGGCGGCCUUCUGGACUGACACUGACGCUGAGGUGCGAAAGCGUGGGUAGCAAACAGGAUUAGAUACCCCUGUAGUC
Molecule: ribosomal RNA, 465 nt
Filed under: Vreelandella stevensii
Lineage: Bacteria; Pseudomonadati; Pseudomonadota; Gammaproteobacteria; Oceanospirillales; Halomonadaceae
Description: partial 16S ribosomal RNA
Rfam family: Bacterial small subunit ribosomal RNA
Source: RNAcentral